GGAAUAUUGCGCAAUGGAGGAAACUCUGACGCAGUGACGCCGCGUGCAGGAUGAAGGUUUUCGGAUUGUAAACUGCUUUAGAUAGGGAAGAAACAAAUGACGGUACCUAUAGAAUAAGCUCCGGCUAACUACGUGCCAGCAGCCGCGGUAAUACGUAGGGAGCAAGCGUUAUCCGGAUUUAUUGGGUGUAAAGGGUGCGUAGACGGACAUGCAAGUUGGCUGUGAAAUCCCGAGGCUCAACCUCGGAACUGCAACCAAAACUACAUAUCUUGAGUACUGGAGGGGAAAGCGGAAUUCCUAGUGUAGCGGUGAAAUGCGUAGAUAUUAGGAAGAACACCGGUGGCGAAGGCGGCUUUCUGGACAGCAACUGACGUUGAGGCACGAAAGUGUGGGUAGCAAACA
This 402-nucleotide ribosomal RNA is filed under the name uncultured bacterium. Its description in RNAcentral is "bacterial SSU rRNA". It matches the Rfam family "Bacterial small subunit ribosomal RNA", at positions 358 to 774 of the family's 1533-position model. The record is from RNAcentral.